This 253-nucleotide ribosomal RNA is filed under the name uncultured bacterium. RNAcentral's name for it is "partial 16S ribosomal RNA". It matches the Rfam family "Bacterial small subunit ribosomal RNA", at positions 524 to 776 of the family's 1533-position model. The record is from RNAcentral.
UACAGAGGUCCCAAGCGUUGUUCGGAUUCACUGGGCGUAAAGGGUGCGUAGGCGGUCAUUUAAGUCUGACGUGAAAUCUCCGGGCCUAACCCGGAAACUGCGUUGGAAACUAUCUGACUAGAGGAAUGGAGGGGAGACUGGAAUACUUGGUGUAGCAGUGAAAUGCGUAGAUAUCAAGUGGAACACCAGUGGCGAAGGCGAGUCUCUGGACAUUUCCUGACGCUGAGACACGAAGGCCAGGGGAGCAAACGGG